CGGAGAAACAAACGAAUAAGAAGGUGAAGUAGAGGGAGGAUGAGACAUUACAGGAGAAGGAGAAGACGGAGCCGGAGCAGAAGCCAAGUUGGCGCUAAUACGCAGCGUUUCGCGAACAAGGAGACGUGCCUCCUGUGACGACGGCGUGGAGGUAAGAGUUUGAGCCUUGGGAUUGGGCGAUUGGUUGAUUUUGAUGGGAGGCAUGGUUAAGAGAGAAGUGAGAAUGCGUGGUUUAAUUUAAUCUUAUGAGUGAAGAGAUUUGAGGUAGUGAUGGUUUUAUAGAGGAAAUGAAGAGCUUGGGGAUUAACGAAGAAAGCAUUGUUUGUAGCUGCUGUGAGGAAAUAAAGAGGCAGGUGGCCUAC
This 362-nucleotide unclassified non-coding RNA is filed under the name Hevea brasiliensis (rubber tree). The record is from RNAcentral. Lineage: Eukaryota; Viridiplantae; Streptophyta; Magnoliopsida; Malpighiales; Euphorbiaceae.